This 23-nucleotide non-coding RNA is filed under the name Arabidopsis thaliana (thale cress). The record is from RNAcentral. Lineage: Eukaryota; Viridiplantae; Streptophyta; Magnoliopsida; Brassicales; Brassicaceae.
CACAACGUGUUGUUCAGCGUGGU